GACGAACGCUGGCGGCGUGCUUAACACAUGCAAGUCGAACGGAAAGGCCCUGCUUUUGUGCGGUGGUCGAGUUGCGAACGGGUGAGUAACACGUGAGUAACCUGUCCCUGCCUUUGGGAUAACUUCAGGACACUGGGGCUCAUACCGGAUAGGAUCUCCUGCUGCUUGGUGGGGGUUGGUUAGUUUCGGUUGUUGGGGAUGGACUCGCGGCUUAUCAGCUUGUUGGUGGGGUAGUGGCUGACCAAGGCUUUGACGGGUAGCCGGCCUGAGAGGGUCACCGGCCACAUUGGGACUGAGAUACGACCCAGACUCGUACGGGAGGCAGCGGUGGGGAAUAUUGCACAGUGGGCGGAAGGCUGAUGCAGCAACGCCGCGUGCGGGAUGACGGCCUGCGGGUUGUAAACCAAUGUCGCCUGAGACGAGGCGUGAGUGACGGUAAUGGGUAAAGAAGCACCGGCUAACUACGUG
RNAcentral lists this ribosomal RNA (468 nucleotides) under uncultured bacterium. RNAcentral's name for it is "partial 16S ribosomal RNA". It matches the Rfam family "Bacterial small subunit ribosomal RNA", at positions 28 to 507 of the family's 1533-position model. The record is from RNAcentral.